GGAGAGAGAAUUACCCAUACGACGUGGGCUAAUUCACAUACACGCACGCACCGAACUGAAUCACACAUAACGUCAGUCACGAGCUCGAUUUCUGUAACUCAAGUGAAAACACCCACCCAAUUGAUACAGCACUGAGACUAACAUGAACGCCAACUGGAGUACUGAACCUGUCAACCACUGCCUUUCUGAUUUUUCCAACACGAAUAGAAAUGUACAAUAAACCAUUAAUUUAUCGUUAUCGUAGAGUAUGUUGCCGUACGUACGUGUGUCUUUACAAGUAGAAGUAUGCAGAUAAUACGUGUUUUUUUACACUGGAAUGACACCAGCAAAGAACGUGUGUUGGACGAUGAAUAAUGUAUACGCUUAUUCGUGUAUAUCUAUAUGAAUGUACGUACGUAUUGAUAUGUAGGUAUGUAUAUUACAUGCAAACUUGUGACAGUUCUCGAGAGUUGUAAGUACGACGCGGAGAGUUGUCGUUGGUCGGUAAUUAUUGUAUGUUCGGUAAGAAAAUAAUUUGUUUAAUCGCCUGCAUUCUUCGGGUAGGUGAACUGUGGAGCUUGACGAGAGAGGGCAACCAAUUACACUGAUUAUAUCGGUGGCUGAUAGAUGCGAAAAAAAAAACUACAUACGAAGAAACUUUAUGCUGGCGAGAUUAUCUUGAGCCUAACCUACGUUAACGGGAUUGAGAUGACACUGUCUGUAGGCACAACGCGCAAUUGGAGUUUUAACGGACACUUUUGGGGGUGGAUGAAAUUUGAUUAUAGUACUUUAAAUGGAUGAUAUUAUUACCAGUUGUUAGGUUGUUUGUUUGGUUUGACACACGUAAAAGGAAUGCAAGCAAGUUUUAAUAAACAGAGGGGUUUUUUGGAGAUCUACCAACUUCACUUCCCUUUUACUCUUCCACUCGCUUGAGCAGCGCACCCUCCUCCACUAUUCACGAACAUACCCGUCAAAA
Long non-coding RNA from Athalia rosae (coleseed sawfly), 955 nucleotides. RefSeq lists it as uncharacterized. The transcript is spliced from 2 exons. The record is from RefSeq and is a predicted model, not a curated record. Lineage: Eukaryota; Metazoa; Arthropoda; Insecta; Hymenoptera; Athaliidae.